Long non-coding RNA from Etheostoma spectabile (orangethroat darter), 1865 nucleotides. RefSeq lists it as uncharacterized. The transcript has 3 exons. The record is from RefSeq and is a predicted model, not a curated record. Lineage: Eukaryota; Metazoa; Chordata; Actinopteri; Perciformes; Percidae.
CUUGUCGAAAAGCAGAUCGCCAGAUGAAGACAGAGUGAGGGAAAAGAGUGAAAUAGACUACUUUACACACGAGAGAAAUUGAUUGCAGCAUUGAUAUUGAGCUAGUAAAAGUGGCAAGAAGCCUUAGAUAUUGUGAACUGCCGUUCACACUUUCAUUUCCUUUGGAAAGAAGUUUUAGAAUCUCCGAUUGGUUUUUUUGUUGUGCAUAUUCUGCCACUGUUGAGAGAGAGAGAGAGAGAGAGAGAUAGAUACGGCGAGCCAGUGAUUCAGCGAUCCAGCGAUUCAGGGAUUCUGGACCCAGUGAUUUCAGUGAUUCUGGAGUGUGGACCAGCGCCCACCAACCCUGGUGGACUACACUCUUUUGGAUACAGAUAAGAUUUAUGAGAUCUCCAACCUUAUCACACUGCCCGAGUAGUGAUUUGAACAAGGCCUAACUGAACUGAACUGCAUUGAACUGACUGACUGAUUUUCUUUUAAGCUGACUGACUAUUAUUUUUGGGGGGAAUCUUUUGUCCUUGUUGUUUUCCAUGUGUUAUUAAUAUCUGUGCAAUAUUGAAAUAAAUGUUUUGAUACUGUUUUGCUACUCAAACAGUGGUCGUAGCCAAUUCACUUCGAGAGCCGAACCUAAUUCUGAUUCCUAGUACUAAAAUAUCAUUAAUACAGAUCAUAGUGAUAUUUACGUUGAUACCUCAAGUUACGAAAGUUACAUAUAGUAUAAGCAAACAACCCUUAGUGAUAAAGUUGAAGAUUAUAAUAUUUAAAUAAAACACGUAGCUGUCUGCCUUUUCCCUCAGGAAACAGCCGGUUGCCCCCAGAGUUGCAAAAACCUGUAUUUUGACCAGGAUGGAAUGAUUCCGGCGCGUUGCCUUCUCUACUGGACCCAAUUCAGUACAUAGAUCCAAGAGCGCAGGUUUAGGGAAUUUAAAUCAGCAUAAUUAGUCUGUCAACGUCGUGGUCCCUGAAAUCUCUUUCUCUCCUGAUUCUUCCAUUGGGGGGUAAGUCCUCCUGCAGUGCCAGCAUUGCCAUCAUGCACGGGGGUCACCGCAGAUUUUACAAGUUUACAACAAUUUGUGAUUGUUAACACCUUGCCAAAAUCACAGCAUCAACUAGUGGUAUCCCCCACCCAGAGAAACAAUUUGAAGAAGAAAGAAAGUGUAAUAGGCAAACACACUUUUCUUCAUGCAGAUUUGGUCAGGAACAGUAUUAAACUUCGGACCAAUAACGAGGACAUUAAGUGUAACGAUUACAUAAGAGCUUAACAUCUGCAUUUUCAGACUUUGACUUUUGAUGGUAUGUGCACAGUUUUCAAGACAAAUAUUUAGUUAUUUACAUUGUGUUCUGCAGUUAUCUAAUGCUAGGGUAUUUAAUGCUAUCUGGUAUUCCACACGGGUGUCACAUAGAUUUUAUGGUAAAAUCUACAAGAAACAGUUGGAGCUGUUCAGGAUUUUGCAAAGUUUGCUGUGAUUAAAGUAAGCCUUAUAGUGACCACUAUAUUGUAGUAAUCAGAGUACAAAGUCACAUGAUCCUGCGGGGCCCGUGGUGGAUGAGAUAGUAAAGAAAUAUGGUUCUGCCUGUAUAGCUAUAUGCUACCGUUUACCGUUUAAUUUCUUGUACUGCACUGUAACUUGUAUUACUUUAAUAUUUUUAUGUAAAGCUCUUUUAAUUGCCCUGUUGCUGAAAUGUGCUAUACAAAUAAAGCUGCCUUGCCUUGUCUUGCACUCGGGCCAUCUCCUCCUGCUGCGCUCUGUAGCAGGCAAUGUAACAGUGAGACAGCGCCGUUUUGAGUUGGAUUUUACAAGGUGUUUAUGGAACAAUGAUCACUCAGUAUUAGCGCACAUAACACUGUUGAAUGUAAUCUUCAUGAU